RNAcentral lists this long non-coding RNA (229 nucleotides) under Homo sapiens (human). RNAcentral describes it as "non-protein coding lnc-ZNF32-3:1". Lineage: Eukaryota; Metazoa; Chordata; Mammalia; Primates; Hominidae. The record is from RNAcentral.
CAAAGUCAUUAUUCCAGCAGAGGGAGAAGAAGGAGAUGCUGGGAAAGAGGAGAGACCAGCCGGGAAGAUGUAACAAUAGCCCCAUGGUAAUAAUGGGCCUCUGAGUUCUGAAACAGCCAACAGAGGAGAAUGACAAGGAGGGGCAAUGAUGAUCCAAGGAGGUGGCAGAUCCUCAGGAAACACAGGGUACUGGAAACUGCUACCAUUGCCCAGACUAGCAGAAUAGAUU